GACGUGGUUGGUGUGUUCUUCA
This 22-nucleotide non-coding RNA is filed under the name Arabidopsis thaliana (thale cress). The record is from RNAcentral. Lineage: Eukaryota; Viridiplantae; Streptophyta; Magnoliopsida; Brassicales; Brassicaceae.